CGGCAGGCUUAACACAUGCAAGUCGAGCGGUAACAUUUCUAGCUUGCUAGAAGAUGACGAGCGGCGGACGGGUGAGUAAUACUUAGGAAUCUACCUAGUAGUGGGGGAUAGCACGGGGAAACUCGUAUUAAUACCGCAUACGACCUACGGGAGAAAGGGGGCAGUUUACUGCUCUCGCUAUUAGAUGAGCCUAAGUCGGAUUAGCUAGAUGGUGGGGUAAAGGCCUACCAUGGCGACGAUCUGUAGCUGGUCUGAGAGGAUGAUCAGCCACACCGGGACUGAGACACGGCCCGGACUCCUACGGGAGGCAGCAGUGGGGAAUAUUGGACAAUGGGGGAAACCCUGAUCCAGCCAUGCCGCGUGUGUGAAGAAGGCCUUUUGGUUGUAAAGCACUUUAAGCAGUGAAGAAGACUCUUUGGUUAAUACCCACAGACGAUGACAUUAGCUGCAGAAUAAGCACCGGCUAACUCUGUGCCAGCAGCCGCGGUAAUACAGAGGGUGCAAGCGUUAAUCGGAAUUACUGGGCGUAAAGGGAGCGUAGGUGGCUCAAUAAGUCAGAUGUGAAAUCCCCGGGCUCAACCUGGGAACUGCAUCUGAUACUGUUGAGCUAGAGUAGGUGAGAGGGAGGUAGAAUUUCAGGUGUAGCGGUGAAAUGCGUAGAGAUCUGAAGGAAUACCGAUGGCGAAGGCAGCCUCCUGGCAUCAUACUGACACUGAGGCUCGAAAGCGUGGGUAGCAAACAGGAUUAGAUACCCUGGUAGUCCACGCCGUAAACGAUGUCUACUAGUCGUUGGGUCCCUUGAGGACUUAGUGACGCAGCUAACGCAAUAAGUAGACC
RNAcentral lists this ribosomal RNA (837 nucleotides) under uncultured Psychrobacter sp. RNAcentral's name for it is "bacterial SSU rRNA". It matches the Rfam family "Bacterial small subunit ribosomal RNA", at positions 40 to 870 of the family's 1533-position model. The record is from RNAcentral. Lineage: Bacteria; Pseudomonadati; Pseudomonadota; Gammaproteobacteria; Moraxellales; Moraxellaceae.